This 465-nucleotide ribosomal RNA is filed under the name uncultured Klebsiella sp. RNAcentral's name for it is "bacterial SSU rRNA". It matches the Rfam family "Bacterial small subunit ribosomal RNA", at positions 338 to 795 of the family's 1533-position model. The record is from RNAcentral. Lineage: Bacteria; Pseudomonadati; Pseudomonadota; Gammaproteobacteria; Enterobacterales; Enterobacteriaceae.
CCUACGGGCGGCAGCAGUGGGGAAUAUUGCACAAUGGGCGCAAGCCUGAUGCAGCCAUGCCGCGUGUGUGAAGAAGGCCUUCGGGUUGUAAAGCACUCUCAGCGGGGAGUAAGGCGGUGAGGUUAAUAACCUCAUCGAUUGACGUUACCCGCAGAAGAAGCACCGGCUAACUCCGUGCCAGCAGCCGCGGUAAUACGGAGGGUGCAAGCGUUAAUCGGAAUUACUGGGCGUAAAGCGCACGCAGGCGGUCUGUCAAGUCGGAUGUGAAAUCCCCGGGCUCAACCUGGGAACUGCAUUCGAAACUGGCAGGCUAGAGUCUUGUAGAGGGGGGUAGGAUUCCAGGUGUAGCGGUGAAAUGCGUAGAGAUCUGGAGGAAUACCGGUGGCGAAGGCGGCCCCCUGGACAAAGACUGACGCUCAGGUGCGAAAGCGUGGGGAGCAAACAGGAUUAGAUACCCGUGUAGUC